Molecule: long non-coding RNA, 335 nt
Organism: Pseudopipra pipra
Lineage: Eukaryota; Metazoa; Chordata; Aves; Passeriformes; Pipridae
Exons: 3
Source: RefSeq, a predicted model, not a curated record
UUGCAUGCUUUAGGAGUGCUCUUGUGGUUCCUGGAAGCCAUGGGGCUCACCUGGAGGAAGAUAAUCUGCGCUUGCAGGAGGAGCUGGACAGGGCUGAUGCGGAGCUGCAGGAGGAGGAAGAAAAGCAUCUUCAGUCUGAGCAUUGUGUUCCUGACUUGAAGACUGCCUUGGAUACCAAGACAAGAGAGGCAAUAACUUCCUCCCAGAAACUGCAGGACCUCCUGGAAGAAGACGCGCAAGACUUUGCAAGUGAGAACAGCAGAUUGGAAGGCACUGUCCAGCAGCCAAGCGAGAGCGUUGAAGCCCUUCCGAGAGCCCUGCAAGCCUCUGCCUCA